This 361-nucleotide ribosomal RNA is filed under the name uncultured bacterium. RNAcentral describes it as "bacterial SSU rRNA". It matches the Rfam family "Bacterial small subunit ribosomal RNA", at positions 29 to 417 of the family's 1533-position model. The record is from RNAcentral.
AACGAACGCUGGCGGCAGGCCUAACACAUGCAAGUCGAACGCCGUAGCAAUACGGAGUGGCAGACGGGUGAGUAACACGUGGGAACGUACCCUUCGGUUCGGGAUAACUCAGGGAAACUUGAGCUAAUACCGGAUACGUCCGAGAGGAGAAAGAUUUAUUGCCGAGGGAUCGGCCCGCGUCUGAUUAGCUUGUUGGUGAGGUAACGGCUCACCAAGGCGACGAUCAGUAGCUGGUCNGAGAGGAUGAUCAGCCACAUUGGGACUGAGACACGGCCCAAACUCCUACGGGAGGCAGCAGUGGGGAAUAUUGGACAAUGGGCGCAAGCCUGAUCCAGCCAUGCCGCGUGAGUGAUGAAGGCCC